GGGUGAGUAACACGUGGGUAACCUGCCCAUCAGAAGGGGAUAACACUUGGAAACAGGUACUAAUACCGUAUAAUGCUUUUUCUCGCAUGAGAGCAAGCUGAAAGGCGUUUUGCGUCACUGAUGGAUGGACCCGCGGUGCAUUAGCUAGUUGGUGAGGUAACGGCUCACCAAGGCCACGAUGCAUAGCCGACCUGAGAGGGUGAUCGGCCACACUGGUACUGAGACACGGCCCAGACUCCUACGGGAGGCAGCAGUAGGGAAUCUUCGGCAAUGGACGAAAGUCUGACCGAGCAACGCCGCGUGAGUGAAGAAGGUUUUCGGAUCGUAAAAC
This 331-nucleotide ribosomal RNA is filed under the name Enterococcus sp. oral taxon A43. RNAcentral's name for it is "bacterial SSU rRNA". It matches the Rfam family "Bacterial small subunit ribosomal RNA", at positions 104 to 431 of the family's 1533-position model. The record is from RNAcentral. Lineage: Bacteria; Bacillati; Bacillota; Bacilli; Lactobacillales; Enterococcaceae.